This 270-nucleotide long non-coding RNA is filed under the name Gopherus agassizii (Agassiz's desert tortoise). Its description in RNAcentral is "lncRNA (ENSGAGG00000025766.1)". Lineage: Eukaryota; Metazoa; Chordata; Testudines; Testudinidae. The record is from RNAcentral.
UUUGUCAUUGUUUCUAGCUCAAUACCUGCUUGUGGUUUUCUAAAACAAACUAGUUAAAGGGACAGUAAACUUAAAUCUUGCUCUGCCUCUGAGGAAGUUUUGCCUGUUACGUUAAUGCUCCUACCUCAGCCUGGAAACAGAAGUUAAGACCCUUGUCUUUUCCUACCUGCAUGCUAGCCAAGCCGUUCCAGGGUACUCCUUUUCUGAGUGAUGAGUUGAGGAUCUGCAAGUAAAGAGGAAAUAGAAGACAUUAACCCACCUGUUUGGAGA